RNAcentral lists this unclassified non-coding RNA (172 nucleotides) under Oryza sativa (Asian cultivated rice). Lineage: Eukaryota; Viridiplantae; Streptophyta; Magnoliopsida; Poales; Poaceae. The record is from RNAcentral.
GAAGAGAGGUCUUGCAUGGAAGUAAGAGGCCAUCUUCGAUAGCCAAGGAUGAUUUGCCUGUAGCCCCAUUGUCAUCAGCUCUCUCCGUCGAGAGCGACAACCGGGCUCUACUGGCAAGUCUCCUCGGCUACCCGAGUACCUCUUAUGCUAUCCCAUGUCAGACCUGCUCUUC